AAUAGAUACCCAGGUAGUCCACGCCGUAAACGUUGGGCGCUAGAUGUGGGGACCUUUCCACGGUUUCCGUGUCGUAGCUAACGCAUUAAGCGCCCCGCCUGGGGAGUACGGCCGCAAGGCUAAAACUCAAAGGAAUUGACGGGGGCCCGCACAAGCGGCGGAGCAUGCGGAUUAAUUCGAUGCAACGCGAAGAACCUUACCAAGGCUUGACAUAACCGAGAACACCGUAGAAAUACGGGACUCUUUGGACACUCGGUUACAGGUGGUGCAUGGUUGUCGUCAGCUCGUGUCGUGAGAUGUUGGGUUAAGUCCCGCAACGAGCGCAACCCUCGUCGCAUGUUGCCAGCACGUCAUGGUGGGAACUCAUGUGAGACUGCCGGGGUCAACUCGGAGGAAGGUGGGGAUGACGUCAAAUCAUCAUGCCCCUUAUGUCUUGGGCUUCACGCAUGCUACAAUGGCCGGUACAAAGGGCUGCGAUGUCGUAAGGCGGAGCGAAUCCCAAAAAGCCGGUCUCAGUUCGGAUUGAGGUCUGC
RNAcentral lists this ribosomal RNA (533 nucleotides) under uncultured bacterium. Its description in RNAcentral is "bacterial SSU rRNA". It matches the Rfam family "Bacterial small subunit ribosomal RNA", at positions 777 to 1308 of the family's 1533-position model. The record is from RNAcentral.